CCCCCCUACACCCUAGGUUGAAUCCCCUCUACACCCUAGGUUGAAUCCCCUCUACACCCUAGGUUGAAUCCCCUCUACACCCUAGGUUGAAUCCCCUCUACACCCUAGGUUGAAUCCCCUCUACACCCUAGGUUGAAUCCCCUCUACACCCUAGGUUGAAUCCUAACCCCCUACACUCUAGGUUGAAACCCUAACCCCCUACACUCUAGGUUGAAUCCUAACCCCCUACACUCUAGGUUGAAACCCUAACCCCCUACACUCUAGGUUGAAACCCUAACCCCCUACACUCUAGGUUGAAUCCUAACCCCCUACACUCUAGGUUGAAACCCUAACCCCCUACACUCUAGGUUGAAUCCUAACCCCCUACACUCUAGGUUGAAUCCCCUCUACACUCUAGGUUGAAACCCUAACCCCCUACACUCUAGGUUGAAUCCCCUCUACACCCUAGUUUUGGAGUGGGGACUAGGGAUUGGUUUGGAAUUUGAAAACUGUCUGUCGAUCAUUAAUGUACUGCAACUCUCCCCAACUUCUCCCCUCAGACACCCAGGGCCUGUAUCUGUUUCAGAUCAAAGCUGCCCCAUAGCAGAGCACAGAUCUGGGAUCAGUUUACCCCUAACUUCUCCUCUCUGUCCCAGGGCCUGUAUCUGUUUCAGAUCAAAGCUGCCCCAUAGCAGAGCACAGAUCUGGGAUCAGCUUACCCCUAACUUCUCCUCUCUGUCCCAGGGCCUGUAUCUGUUUCAGAUCAAAGCUGCCCCAUAGCAGAGCACAGAUCUGGGAUCAGUUUACCCCUAACCCUGUGUU
Molecule: long non-coding RNA, 801 nt
Filed under: Salmo salar (Atlantic salmon)
Lineage: Eukaryota; Metazoa; Chordata; Actinopteri; Salmoniformes; Salmonidae
Description: lncRNA (ENSSSAG00000089602.1, ENSSSAG00000094818.1)
Source: RNAcentral